This 39075-nucleotide long non-coding RNA is filed under the name Triticum aestivum (bread wheat). RNAcentral's name for it is "long non-coding RNA (TAES_LNC017232)". Lineage: Eukaryota; Viridiplantae; Streptophyta; Magnoliopsida; Poales; Poaceae. The record is from RNAcentral.
UCUGACACACCAUUAUUCCUUUUGCUCUUUUGCCCCCUCCCAGGCUGCGAACCACCUCAACAUCAGGGGGCUCCUAGACCUGACUUGCCAGACCAUCGCCGACAUGAUCACGGGAAAGACGCCAGAGGAGAUCCGCAAGAUCUUCAACAUCAAUGAGAAAUUAAGACCCGAGGAGGAGGAGAAGAUCCGCAGGGAAAACCAAUGGGCCUUUGAGUAGAGGAACAUCUAGGCCGCGCUGAAGUAAUGAACACUUAGUAUUACCCAUGUCUACAUUUCAGUGUGCUUGUUUAUGUCAUAAUGGUUGUAAUGAACCAAGAGUCUAUAAGGUGGUGUUGGUGAACUUAUUCAGUGGUUAUGUUUGCAAAAAUAAUAUGGUGGUCAUCAAUUAUCAUUUGUCAAAUGAAUCGUUAUUGUCAAGUUGAUGUUUUGCUUGCUUAUCAUUAUUUUUUCACUGAUUUCCACCAUGUGAUUUGGGCUUCUUCGUUGGUUAUUCAUGUCUGUUUUGUUCAUCGAUCAAGAUGCAUGGAUGCUCUUGUUACUUAAGAGACGGUCCUUGUUCUUCCGCUCUCUCUUUACAAUCCUAAUAAAAUAAAAAUAAAAGUUGUUGCUUAAAUUAUUUGAGGGAUCAAACUAAUUUUAGAAGACCUGAAAUUUUUAUGGUAACCACUUACGACCAUGGCAAGGCCACACUAAAACAUAUAGGGUUUUAGGAUUAUAUUUACAAUUUUUUUUACAAAAAAUCCAUUUAAAUGAAUAAAAGAGUGAUGUUAUUCUCUACUGACUGCAGAACCACGCCGCACCAGAAUCAGUUAACCCUCGUACACCUCUCCGUCUGUGACUCCACUGCCGAGUCUUCCCAUCACCGGCUCGUUGCCGUCCGGGGCCUCGCCGUUGUCCACCGCCUUGGUGCGCUCGGCACGGCGUGGUCAACGUGGUCAACAAACGAGAGUCGUCGGAAGAGGAUUAUACGUGGAGAGGCUGACAGUGGGGAUGCACCAGGUCCAUGGACGCACACUGCAACCGCCUCCUUGUGACGCGAAAAUAAAAAUUAUUCCUCCCCAUGAAAGCUGGGACCCACCAUGUAUAUCUUCGCAAGGAAGGAAGUGCCUCCUUAUGCCUGCUCCUGACAGCUGGGACCCACCAACAACAUCUUUGCUCCCAAGGAAGUGACUCCUUAUUAUGGGCAAAAAAUAUAUGAUUCCGCCUCUGACCACUGGGACCCACCAGCUAUAUAUUCACACACAAGGAAAUGCCUCCUUGCCCCCCGACAGCUGGAACCCACCUGGUCGAAGCAUACGUAGCGUUGUCUGUGUACAUACCGGUCGAUCGGUCUGUUUGCCACGAUGAACCAUGUCCGAGUAAGGAGCGGUAGCAGUUGAGGCAAUCCAGUCAAAACAGAGUACACGUACGGACAACCAGAUGCUAAAAAAUACAUCCACGUACGUACAUACGGGUGUGGUCUCGAACGCAUACUCGCGCAUACGUAAUGUGUCGUGUUCAUCGGGAGGCAACAUAAUGCGUCGUGUUUAUUGGGAGGCAAUGGAAUAUGUCGUGUUCAUUAGGAGCCAACCGGCUUAGAUGUAAUAGCCGAAACGAGGUCUGGCGUACCACAGAACGGAGGAAAUGGGCCUUCUGUUGGGCCACGUACGGUCGAAAUGGGUCCUGUUUAUCGGGAAGGGUCUGGCCUACCGCAAAACAGAGGAAAAAAACUUGUAUUCGAGUGCCUACGGUCGAAACGGGGUCCUGUUGAUAGGGAGGGGUGUGGCGUACCGUAAAACGGAGGAAACGGACUUGUGUUGGAGCGCUUACGGUCAAAACAAGGUCCUGUUCAUCCACCAUCUACUGCUGCGCCCCAGCCUCCACGAGCUACUAUUUAUCCACCAUCGACCUCCUCCAGCCUCCACCAGCUACUGUUCAUCCACCGGCUACUAUGCAUAGAGGCUCCAGAGGGUCCUGUUCAUCCACCCCCAACCGGCUAGGGUGCGAUGGCCUCCUUGGGGUCCUGUUCAUCCCGCGGCAACGGCCUACUACCACGGGGUCCUCUUCAUCAAACCCCCACCGGGAACUGUUCAUCCACAACCAACCAACCGGCUCGACUCACCAUGUCUUGACUCGUUCUACGUACCAUGUGCACGGUAGCAACGGUCACUGAUCAUCGAGAGUCAACCCAACACUGGCUGGCUACGUCUCGCACGGGGGCUCGAUCGGCUUCAAUAAGCAGCAGAUGCGAGCAAUCGCUCGGGUUCAGUUAGGAGCAAUAGCGAAGGAAUCGCUCGGGUUUAGUCAGCAGUGAAUGAAUCACUCGAGUUCAGUUAAUAGCCAAGGGAUCAAUCGCUCGGCUUCAGUAACGUAGCUAGCAGUGCGAUCGCUCGGUUUAGUUAGAGCCCAACGCCUCGCACACACGCAUGUACACAAGCGAAACGCACAAACCACAAUGCAUUGCCCAGCCCCGACCACCCACCGUAACCUGGAACUCCCCCAUAUUUUCCUCGCCCUCGCUUCUACCAUGAUUUUUCCCGUCAUGGACGGCCCAAAGAAUGUCAUGCAGCCGCGUCUCCGGCCUGCCCAGGACGAAAAACCCAUUUUCAUGGACCUAUCAUCUCAUUUUCGUCCUGUGAAAUCUCUGAUCCUAUUCUCUAUAUAUGCAGCAUGGUCUAUUAUGUAGCAAUAGCACGGUCUAUUAUGCUCUGUUACCGGCAGUAAUGUCAGUUGUUCUCUAGUAUUUGUCAUCGCAGUGCUCUCCUUCCUGUUGUUCCAUAUUUUGUAGCUGCAUCUUUGAUGUGUAUACGUUGUUGAUGUGUUGUCUUGGUAUAAGUAAAGCUGACUACUUCUGUCCUUUGUCGUCAAAUGAAGUCAUGAUAUGUUGUUAGCAACCUAGGACAGGAGGUAUUUGUUCAAGUUUGCAGUUCCAAGAUCCAUUGCUGAUGAAUAUGGAGUCAUUAAUAUUUAUUCUAUUUUUCCAAGAAAUGCUUCACUUGUAAGUUAUAACACCAGUCACAGACAACACACUUAACAAUUUUCGCGUGUCCCCUAUUACAUUUGACAGGGUCGAUUCGAAAUCCUAUGCCUCUGUGGAUCAUACCUGGUGAUAGAUGACGGCGUUUCACGCACAUGGAAUGGAGGUCUAUGCAUAGCGCUGUGUGGCGCUGAUCGCAGGGUGAUUGGAGGAAGCGUUGGUGGAGUCCUGACAGCAGCCGGGACAAUUCAGGUGAUCACUCGCUUCUUUUUUUUUCACUGAAACAUCAGCAUUUCAUUAAUUCAUCCUUGGUCUGUUGUGUUCCAGAAAUGAAUGAUGAGGUGAUUGUGCGUGUUGGUGCAGGUGAUUGUGGGGAGCUUCAUGUACGCGGGGUUGAAGAAGAGCAGGAAGGGCAAGGCUGGGAAGGAGUCUGCUGCGGCGGAGGAAGAACAGACCGGCGAUGCGAACGGGGGCAGGGGCAGGGGCGAAGAUGGAGUUGGAGGCGAGGCGGAGGAAGAGGGGCCUUCGCCGCUGAUGCCGAUGCCCCGCGGAGAGGAGGAGCUGCCGUCGGACGCGAUGAUGAGCGGGUGGACGGGCAUGAUGCGGCAGAUGGAGUCGCGGUCCUGCGGCAUGGACAUCAACUCGAUCCGAGAGUGAAGGAUGUAGACUGUUUAAUUAGUUUUGUUUUCCUCGCCCUCGCUUCUACCAUGAUUUUUCCCGUCAUGGACGGCCCAAAGAAUGUCAUGCAGCCGCGUCUCCGGCCUGCCCAGGACGAAAAACCCAUUUUCAUGGACCUAUCAUCUCAUUUUCGUCCUGUGAAAUCUCUGAUCCUAUUCUUUAUAUAUGCAACAUGGUCUAGCACGGUCUAUUAUGCUCUGUUACCGGCAGUAAUGUCAGUUGUUCUCUAGUAUUUGUCAUCGCAGUGCUCUCCUUCCUGUGGUUCCAUAUUUUGUAGCUGCAUCUUUGAUGUGUAUACGUUGUUGAUGUGUUGUCUUGGUAUAAGUAAAGCUGACUACUUCUGUUCUUUGUCGUCAAAUGAAGUCAUGAUAUGUUGUUAGCAACCUAGGACAGGAGGUAUUUGUUCAAGUUUGCAGUUCCAAGAUCCAUUGCUGAUGAAUAUGGAGUCAUUAAUAUGUAUUCUAUUUUCCAAGAAAUGCUUCACUUGUAAGUUAUGACACCAGUCACAGACAACACACUUAACAAUUUUCGCGUGUCCCCGAUUACAUUUGACAGGGUCGAUUCAAAAUCCUAUGCCUCUGUGGAUCAUACCUGGUGAUAGAUGACGGCGUUUCACGCACACAGAAUGGAGGUCUAUGCAUAGCGCUGUGUGGCGCUGAUCGCAGGGUGCACUGGUGGAAAAAGGGCCUUUGGUCGCGGUUCACAACUGCCAUUAGUCGCAGUUGCGCAACCGCGACCAAAUAGGCGCGACUAAAGGCCCCCCCUUUAGUCGCGGUUGCUUAAGAACCGCGACUAAAGGCCCGUCCACGUGGGCGCCAGUCGGCCGUCGGGGCGGAGGACCUUUAGUCGCGGUUCUUCUGGCCAACCGCGAGUAAAGGCCGCCGCAGGUUUAGGGUUUUAGCCCCCCCUAAACCUGUUUUCUGUUUAAUUUGUAUUGUUUUAUUUCUUUUGUGCUUUAUUUUAAUUUUGAAGGAGUUUCACAUAUUCUACGGUACUACAUACAUGCAUAUGAAUGUACAAUUUCAAACAAAUUUGAAAUUAGAACCAAAAAGAAUUCAAGAGGAAUAUACAAUAUAUAUUCAAUAUCAUCGGAUGACCAUAUACAAUUUUGAACAAGUUUCCAUACAUAAUUUAAUGCAUAUAAAGUUCUACGUCCUCGUAAUGGUGUUCUCCUUUAGGAUGGAGGACUUCCCUCCUGAACCAUCCAGCUAGUUCCUCUUGAAGUGGUCGGAAGCGAGCUUCUGGACUAAGCAUCAUCCGGAGGUUAUUCCUCUGAGCAUUGGUAUCACUCGGAACCCGCUCAGAGGUGUAUCUCCGGAUCAUCUCACAGACAUAGUAUGCACAUAGAUUGGUCCCCGCUGGCUGAAUAUCCUCACCAUUCUUAGCCUUUGACCUUUUGAAUUCUAGCUCUUUUUUGAAUUCACCGACCUUUGUAUCUACGAACCGUCUCCAAACCCUACGAGGCAAAGAAAAUUAAAUGAACAAGAGAGUUAUUAGUUACUUGAUAUUAGGAAAUGAACGAAAUAGGCCGAUCGAUAUAGAGCGCAAAUGAAUGAAAAUAAUUACUUCUGCAGCAUUCUUCUCAUGCCUCCCCAAAGCUUUGGAUCCUUAUUCAGAGAGUCGUGGACGAGACAUUCUGAGGUGUCAACUUUAAUUACUAGCAGAAUCCAGUGGAACCUGCGGACACGAUACAUGCACAGUACGUCAUGCAUAACUCAUCGAUUAGCCGGCCACAUACCAUGCAUGGAGUAAACAAAAGAGAAUGUGCUCAAGACAGAAACACUCACCCAAAAUGGUAAGGAAAUAGAAUAUCACUUUUGAGUUCCUGCUUUGUAAGAAACUGCCACAGGUCUGGCUCCAUGUCGGCGGGGUGAUGCUCCAACACAUAUCCAUUAACAAUGUGUGGGUCAAUGAACCCAACAUCAUGGAUGUUCCUUACUCUGCAUUCCUUAAUCUUCAUUCUGCAUGUAUAAUAGAGGACACAACAAUAUAGUUAGGACAUAUAUAUAGUGCAGGCAAUAUGAACGAGAUGGGGUAGAAAUAAAUCACUUACAGAACGUAGCAACUGAUGAUAGAUUUGUCGAGCUCGCGCAUAUUGAAAAGCUGGAACAAUUCACUCAGAUGAAUUUGUACAUAGUAAUGUUUGAAGUGAUUCUCAUAUCUAACUUCCGCAUAAAUAUAUUCUUUGGCGUUUUCAUUUUUUAUGUAACCCUUGUAGCAUUUCAGCAGACCUUUCAUUUGUGGAGGUAGAUCCUCUUCCUGCACAGGCUCGACGAGAGGCCCAUUCUUCACAUAUGUAAUUACUACCUCCUUCACUGGCGCCUCAUCAAGGCCUAACAGUUCACGAAGAGUAAUACCUAAGUUGGCCGCUUGUUCUCUGGCACUCGUUACAGUCAAUCCAUGUGCUGCCGCAGCUGCUAUGAUAUCGGGGUCAUCCGGACCAGCGGCUUUCACUAUAAGCGGGGCAAUCGAUUGUUUACUUUGUUCCCCGAGCUGGGCAACUCGUUUCCCGCUUUUUUUACUUUCUAAUUCCGUUUCCUCGGCCUCCUCCAAGGCUUUGUUCUCCUGGUUCUCCGCCCGCUCUUUCUUCUCCUUCAACAUGAGUGCCUGCCUACGAAGUUCACGUGCAUAGUCGUCAGGCAGAUUCUUCGCGGCUUGGGACGGUGUGCUCAAAAAUGACUUAGCCCACUUCUUUUGCUCAUCAGAAAAUACUGGCUUGGGCUCAGGCUCUCUUUUCUUCUUGCAGUCCGCCUUCCAUUUCUCAUGAUCAGCAGCCGCGGCCGCGGCAGUUUCCUCGGCACUACGUUCCCAAGGCCUUGUGGGGAGAGGCUUCAGUGAUGGCUCCGGUACCUUUGUGGUCUUAGGUACAUAAGGGUCCGGGUUAAUAAUCCAGGACUGCUUCUGCUUCUUUGCCGGAGGUGGAUUGGGGGGCGGCGUCUGAUCACCCGCCGGACGAGGACUGGGGGGCGGCGUCUGAUCACCCGCCGGACGUUGUGGACUAGGGGGCGUCGGCUGACGUGAUGGAGGUGUAGGUGAACCGCCACCACCGUAGGGGGGGUGGACUUGUUGUCCUUGGCGCCUCGCCUGGAAACUUGAUAAACUUCUUUUGCCAUAGAAUGAAAUGGCGCUUGACAUCUCCAAGUCUUUUCUCCCCUUCAGGUGUAGCAAUGUCAAUCUCCAGGUCCUCAAACCCUUGGACUAUGUCCUCCACCGUGACACGAGCAUAGCCAUCUUGAAUGGGGUUGUUGUGGUGGAGUGCUCCAGGUAAACAUGGUAAAGCACUGCCGAUGGCUACCUUCAUGGACAUGUUCCCGAUAGGAUAAUACAGAUGACAUUCUUUCAUCUCCUUUAUAUCGUCCACGGGGUAGCGAGGAGGCUCCGGUGCAGUAAUUUCGACCACCAGAGGCUCCGGUGCAGUAAUUUCGACCACCAGAGGCUCCGGUGCAGUAAUUUCGAUCGUUGGUGCAUCUGCACCAGCCGGUGGGGCCUCCGUGGAAGCCACACUGCUUCUUCGCUGCUGGCUUCUGAGAUCCGCUGGAUGAUCUUCAUGCUGCGCCCGAGCUGCAUCUCUUUCGGCUACUAGUACACUCACGGUUUUCUUCAUCACAUCCAUUUCCGAUGCCAACCGCACCACAACAUCUGCUUCCCGAUCCAUCUUUCUCUUCCGGCUUCUGUAACCGUACGGGUCAUCAUUCUGGGGGAACCCUAUUUUCCACGGAAUGUGCCCCAUGCCUCGUACACGUCCUCCGUGUUCAGGAUUCCCGAGGGCUUUUGUCAGCGCAUCGUUCUCUCUGUUGAACUUGAUCUUCCCCUCUUGAGCAUCCCUCAUUGCGUCAAUAAGGGCUUGGGUGGGUUUAAUUAUUUUGCCCGGUAAACACACUCCCCUGUCUCCGGGUUCAGCGUUCCCCCAUGCCCGUACCACCAGCUUUUGGCCCUUGGGUCCCAUCCCUCCGUACCUGGACGGAUUCCUCGCGCCCUCAGCUCGUUCUCCAUCUUCUCCCACCUAGGCUCCCAAAGGCGAUACCCUCCUGGCCCCAUAAUAUGAUUGUACUCCUUCUUAGCCGCAUUUUCCUUAUUUUUUUUCGAUAUUUGAAUGAACUGCUCCAAUUUCUUUUGCUUCACAAAUUCUGGCCAAUCAUGUUUCAGUUUCUCAUAUUGUCCUUUGAAAUCCGGAGUCUUGUUCUGCUUGACAAAGUCAUGGGCUAGAUUUUGCUUGAAUUUCCGGAAUGCGUCGGCCAUCUUAUGAAGAGCGAACUGUUUGACUAGCCUCCUCCUCUCCUUGUUUUCCUCAAUCUUGUUACCCUCCUCAUCGAAUUUGUUGUAUUCCGGAGGUAGAACGAAAUGUUCCAUAAGCUUCUUGAAGCAAUCUUUUUUUGUUCUCUUAUCGACAAAAGUGAAACCAGCAAUUCGUGCCUUCUUUGGCUUAUUCCACUCCUGGACGGUGAUCGAGACGUUGUCUCUAACAACGGCUCCGCAUUGGUUGACAAACUUGGUGGCGUUCUUGCGGGGCUCCAGCGGCCUGCCGGUUGCACUGUCGACAACCUCGAUGGUGCAUGUUUCUCCUUGUUUCAUCGUCUUGGUUGCGCCACGCUUUGACAACGUACUCGAUUGUUUCGACGAUCCGGCCGAGGGCUAAAAUAAGAAAGAGAGUCGCGCGCGUUAGUACACACAUAUUUAUUCAAAUCAGUUAGUUUGUAUCACCAGAGGCUCAAUGUAUAUAUAUACUUCAGCGCCGGAGGUGGUUGCUACUUCCAUUUGAAGAUCGUCGUUUAUCGACGUUUGUUCGGCAUCAUCUUGCUGACGGCGCCCUUCAUCUUCACCGUCAAGGUUCAGAUAAGAAGAGAUAUCAUCUUCUUCUUGUCCGGUCGGCACAUAUAGAAUAUCGCCGUUUAUGAUGCCAAACAUAUGUGCUUCACCGUCCGGAUCAUAGUUGUCCAUAAUCGGGUCAGCUCUAUCGUCCGCCAUUAUGUCAGUCCUGAAAACAUGUAGUAAAAACAAAUUAAUUAAGUGAAGAAGGGGGGUGGUGGCGGUGGCGGUGGCGAAAGGGCGGUGGCAAAAGGAGGGGGCGAGGAAGGGGUGGGAGAGGGUGUCGCGGUAGAGCGCGAGACGGGGCGGCAGACGACGGCGUCACGGAGAGGGAGGCGAGGACAACACACAUGUAUAACCCUCGCCGCCCCCUCUCGAUCCCAAAAAAAAACACCGCGCGCAUCGCCGCCCCCCUCGCCUCCCCCUCUCCGUAUAUGCGCGGGGUCGUGUACAUUUUUUUAAAGCGGGAUCGUUGUACAUUGACGCGCGGGGUCGUUGUAUAUAUUGAUUAUCAAGUUUUACUUUUUUUGUUGUUAAUUAUCAAGUUUUAUAUACGUUUUUUUGUUAAUUAUCAAAUUUUACGGUUUUUUUGUUAAUUAUCAAGUUUUAAGUUAUUUUACCGUUUUUGUUAAACUAAUUAACUAGUUAAAAUUAAAAAGAACAAAAAAAAAGAAAAAAAAGAAAAAAUUCCGGUGGCCUGCGGCGCCCCUCUCUCUCUCCACGAUCUCGCUCUCUGUCUGAGACCGGUGGCCCGUGCGCGCGCGGCAGUACGGAGGCCGGCCGACNNNNNNNNNNNNNNNNNNNNNNNNNNNNNNNNNNNNNNNNNNNNNNNNNNNNNNNNNNNNNNNNNNNNNNNNNNNNNNNNNNNNNNNNNNNNNNNNNNNNNNNNNNNNNNNNNNNNNNNNNNNNNNNNNNNNNNNNNNNNNNNNNNNNNNNNNNNNNNNNNNNNNNNNNNNNNNNNNNNNNNNNNNNNNNNNNNNNNNNNNNNNNNNNNNNNNNNNNNNNNNNNNNNNNNNNNNNNNNNNNNNNNNNNNNNNNNNNNNNNNNNNNNNNNNNNNNNNNNNNNNNNNNNNNNNNNNNNNNNNNNNNNNNNNNNNNNNNNNNNNNNNNNNNNNNNNNNNNNNNNNNNNNNNNNNNNNNNNNNNNNNAGGGCGACGGCGGGCGGCGUCGAGGGCGACGGCGGGCGGCGUCGAGGGCGAGGGCGACGGCGGCAGGCCUUCGGCGCGGUGUUGAAUCGGAGAAGACGAGAAAGGGUUCGGGCCCUUGUAUUUAUAUCCCCCCCUUUAGUCGCGGUUGGGGAGGCGACCCGCGACUAAAGGGUAACCUUUAGUCGUGGUUGGGGAGGCCAUAUCAAAUACCUCAGCACCAGUGCGUUCUGCAGGCUUCGGCCGGUGAUCUGCCUUGCCGUUGUAAUGCUUGCCUUUCUUUCUUACUGGAUGAAUUUUCGGAAGAAAUCGACGAUGCCCAAGGUACACGUUCUUCUUACAAUUUGGCAAAUGUACACUUUCAGUCUCAUGUAAGCAGCGCGUGCAUGCAUUGUAUCCCUUAUUUGACAGUCCCGAAAGGUUACUAAGAGCAGGCCAAUCGUUGAUGGUUACGAAAGGCAACGCUCGUAGGUUAAAUUCCUCUUUUUUGUGCUCAUCCCACACACGGACACCAGGUCUGCCCCACAGCUGUAAAAGUUCAUCAACUAAUGGCCUUAGGUACACAUCGAUGUCGUUGCCGGGUUGCUUCGGACCUUGGAUGAGCACUGGCAUCAUAAUGAACUUCCGCUUCAUGCACAACCAAGGAGGAAGGUUGUAGAUGCAUAGAGUCAUGGGCCAGGUGCUAUGGCUGGAGCUCUGGUCGCCAAAAGGAUUCAUGCCAUCUGUACUUAGACCAAAUCUUAUGUUCCUUGCGUCAGCUGCAAAAUCUUUGAACUCUCUGUCGAUCUUUCUCCAUUGCGUUCCAUCUGCGGUGUGUCUCAACUCCCCGUCCGACUUACGGUCCUCUUUGUGCCAUCGCAACAACUUGGCAUGCUCUUUGUUCCUGAACAGACGUUUCGACCGUGGUAUUAUAGGAGCAUACCACAUCACCUUGGCGGGAACCCUCUUCCUGGGUUUCUCGCCCUCAACAUCGUCACCAGGGUCAUCGCCUCUGAUCUUAUAACGCAAUGCAGUGCAUACCGGGCAUUCAUUCAAAUUCUCGUAUUCACCGCGGUAGAGGAUGCAGUCGUUGAUGCAUGCAUGUAUCUUCAGAACCUCUAAACCUAGAGGGCAGACAACCUUCUUUGCUUCGUACGUACUGGCGGGCAACUCGUUAUUCUUUGGAAACAUAUUCUUCAACAUUUUCAGCAAGUUUUCAAAUGCCGAGUCAGCUACACCUGCCCGUGCCUUCCAUUUCAGCAAAUCCAGUGUGCAGCCCAGCUUUUUCAGACCAUCAUCGCAUCCGGGGUACAACGACUUUCUGUGAUCCUCUAACAUGCGAUCCAAAUUCUCCCUCUCCUUUUCAGUUUCGCAGCGUCUUCGUGCAUCAGCAAUGGUCCGACCAAGAUCAUCAACGGUCUCAUCACGUGCCUCUUCUUCACCUUCACCUUCCCCUUCACCUUCCCCUUCACCUUCAGCAUCCUCCAUGAAAGUAUCACCGAAAUGAGCAAGAUAGCUUUCAUCGAUGAAAUCAUCCCCUUCUUCAUCUUCUUCCAUUAUAACCCCUCUUUCUCCAUGCUUGGUCCAACAAUUAUAGCUUGGCAUGAAACCGUGCCGAAGCAGGUGCAGGUGAACUUCUCUUGAGGAAGAGUAACCCUUCUGAUUCUUACAGUCAACACAUGGACAGAUAACAAAACCCUUCUGCUUGUUCGCAUUAGCCACUACGAGGAAAUCUUUCAAACCCGUAGUGAACUCGCGGGAGAGUCGGUUACCGUACAUCCAUUGCCGAUUCAUCUGCAUUAUUAUAAUAUACAAUAUAUAAUUAACUAUCAUGCAUUUGUUAAACUAACUAGCUAUAAACAAUAGAAAUUAAACAAUGAACAACACACAUGCAUAUUUUAUCAAUGACACACAUGCAUGAAAGGUUCGAGUUGCUAACCGCGAUCGAGGAGGAAAAAAUAAAUGAGGAACCUCAAGUGUGGCUCCAACACUUCAUAUCAUGUUUGUUUCACCCUCUUGGGGCAUUUCAUCAAACACCUUGUGUGCAUAAGAGGAACCAAAAGCAAACCUACACCCCCUUGUGAAGCUUGUGAAGAGAAGUGGCACCAAAUGGCUAAGUGAGCGUGCUGAACUGGUAUAUAUAGGGGAGGAGCUUUAGUCGCGGUUGGCCUGGCCAACCGCGACUAAAGGCCUUUGGGCACCUUUAGUCGCGGUUGGCCUGGCCAACCGCGACUAAAGCCCCUCACGUGCACCAGCUGGCCACCGAGCGCCCUGGGCCCAGGCCUUUGGUCGCGGUUCGUCUGCCGAACCGCGACUAAAGACUUCAUUAGUCGCGGUUCCUACAGUUUUGCGACUAAUGGGGCUGGACGGAAGCCUCUUUUUCUACCAGUGGCGAUUGGAGGAAGCAUUGGUGGAGUCCUGACAGCAGCCGGGACAGUUCAGGUGAUCACUCGCUUCUUUUUUUUUCACUGAAACAUCAUCAUUUAAUUAAUUAAUCCUUGGUCUAUUGUGUUCCAGAAAUGAAUGAUGAGGUGAUUGUGCGUGUUGGUGCAGGUGAUUGUGGGGAGCUUCAUGUACGCGGGGUCGAAGAAGAGCAGGAAGGGCAAGGCCGGGCAGGAGUCUGCCGCGGCGGAGGAAGAACAGACCGGCGAUGCGAACGGGGGCUGGGGCAGGGGCGAAGAUGGAGUUGGAGGCGAGGCAUAGGAAGAGGGGCCUUCGCCGCUGAUGCCGAUGCCCCACGGAGAGGAGGAGCUGCCGUCAGACGCGAUGAUGAGCGGGUGGACGGGCAUGAUGCGGCAGAUGGAGUCGCGGUCCUGUGGCAUCGACAUCAACUCUAUCCGAGAGUGAAGGAUGUAGACUGUUUAAUUAGUUUGGUACGGCGGAAGUUGAGCCUAGUCUAGCUUAGCUAGUGGAUGAUGGAUGAUUCUAGGGUUUGGUUGGGUUGGUUGUGUUCCUCUCCUGCGUGGGUGUAAAAAGAAGUCUAGUUAGUAUAAUGAAUGUCAUCGUUGAGUAUGAUCAGUUUAACCGAUGAUGUUGGCGCCGGUCGGUCGGGCGGAUCUAUGAUGGAAAUAGUGGAUUCGGUUGUUGGUUGAUGGUCUGGUCUGGUAUGGUAUGGUAUGGUAUGAUGUAGUUAUAGGCAGCAGCAAUGAGCAACUUGUUUGUAGCUAGUCUCUUUCUUGGUUGCAGACAGACAGACAGACAAACUUUGACAGUUUUGUUUUCCUUUCUCUUCUUGUGUUUGCAUCCCUGUUGCUUCUUUCUUUUCCUUCUUACUAGCAAACAUGCUUGUGCGUUGCAACGGGAAAAUGCAGGGCGUGAAAUUAGGUUCAGACACAUAAAUAUUCUAGUGGUGCGAUAUCAAUCAUGUCCAACAUGUACCUUCAUGAUCCUAGCUAGCUACUCCAUCCGUUCCGAUUUACUCGUCGUGGUUUUAGUUCAAAUUUGAACUAAAACCAUGACGAGAAAGUAAAUCGGAACGGAGGCAGUAGAUAGCAUUGGCACCUUUUUUUUACCGUUAAAUAAUUUUUUCUUUAUCCGCAAAAAAAAUAUUAUUUUUCUUUCUCCACCCAUUAUCUCAACCUCAAUUCAAACCCGCCAUCGAAUAAAUGGAAGCAAUAGUCUUCGGUCACCUUACCUGGCACCUGGUGUCUUUGCCUAUUAGUUCUAAAUAUGCAAGAAGUUUUUCCAUACUGCAAGAAUUUGUCAUCAAGCUUGAUGCAUAAAGAAUUUGUCACCUAGAGUUAACAAAAUCUUUUGGUCUCUGAUGCCAUGAACCAGAGGAGAGAGCCUUGUGCAUGCUGGUGUCGGAAGCAAUGAGCGUCUUGCAGAACAUGCGGGGUGCUUUCACGUCAUCGCUGUCCUCUUUGUUGGGGCGGGGUGCUUCAAUAGUGUCAGUCCCAAAUUUCCUCGUUGUUCCCUUCUAGUCCUACACUCCUACUUCAAGCAUCCACCUUAUUUUAACCAUUAGCAGCACAUACUCCCUUUGUUCCGAUUUACUCGUCGUGGUUUUAGUUCAAAUUUGAACUAAAACGACGAUGAGUAAAUCGGAACGGAGGAAGUACUUUUGAUGAUUCAAGUGACAUUAACCGCAUCUGCCUUCCUGUAACCAUUACCAGCGCAUAUCUUUGAUGACUCAACUGACAUUAACCAUGUCAAAUUCAGAUAGUGCGCCAAUCCCUCCCUCCCCGCCCCAACCACCAGCGACCCUUUUGUGUUUGGGCAAAUCACUGCCUCUUCUCUCCUAUCGGGUGUGGGAUUGUUUUCACAAGAGUAAUGCACUGAAGAUAAAUACCAUCAGGUAGGUAGUAUCCUUUGUUAUAGUGGUGACCAUUGAUCUUAAUAUUGAACUCUGGGCAGUUGCCUUCUACAAGCCUUUCAAACACCAGAGAACGCUAAAGCACGUUGAUGUCAUUGUGAGAGCCGGCCGUGCCAAAAAAAGAGUACCAAAUUCAAAGAUCUUGUGAAGCACGGCCUCAAGUAUGACAUUGCAAACUUUCACAUGACCUCUAGACUGCCCCUGCCAAGCAGAUGUGCAGUUCUUCCACUUGCAGUGCUUACAAUCUGUGUGCGACCAAGCAUCCUCGGAAAGCCCCUAUCUGCAUUGAUCGCCAACAACCUGGUGCAACAGUUGGCUCUCUCAAGUACUCCCGGCCAAGCAUCACUAGCACAAUCUUGCAGAACCUGUACAUGAAUUCUAGGCACGUGGCCUCACUCAUGCAGACAUACCCAUCAAUUAGAUCACAUGGUAUUUUGUAUGCAAGCACCGAAUAGCUGCAGUGCAUUUCUGCUAAGAGGAGAAGCCAACCUCUCCCAGAGGCGUCCUCCUUGCAUAUGAAAUAAUCAUCGUAUGCCACAACCCUUCGUGAAUACGAGAACACAUGUCUAGCCAUCUGGAAGCGGCGCCGAAAUAGCUUGUGUUUGAAGAGUGGGGAAGAGGACUUGAAGUAGUCUUCGGCUCUCUCUAUUGCGAUUCAACGCCGGAGCAUGGUCGAGAUUGAGCCCCUAAAUGUGGUGAUCGGCGUUGCUCAAUCGGCCCAAAAUAAAUUCCCCAAAAGCCCAAUCAACCCUGCAACAAAACACCCCAUCUUUCUCCUUUCUUCCGCCGCCGCUAGAGUUUCCUCUUCUAGUUAGGGUUUCCUCGAUCCCCAAUUUCCCCACCCCAACCCUAGCUCCGAUCCACCCGAUGGCGGCCGCAGAGGGCAAGAAGAAGAUCAUCAAGCUCAAGAGUUCAGACGGUAAGGAGUUUGAGGUGGAGCAGGCGGUGGCCAUGGAGUCGCAAAUGAUCCGGCACAUGAUCGAGGACGACUAUACUGACAAAGGCUUGUUGCUCUGCAAUGUCAACUCAAAGAUCCUCUCCAAGGUCAUUGAGUACUGCAACAAACACGUCCAAGCAAAGGCCGUCGACACAUCUGAUUUUGGUGGAGGAGCUAGGCCGUUAGAUGCUACAUCGGCUGUGCCUGCGGCGCCCGCAGAGGACCUCAAAAACUGGGACGCCAAUUUCGUCAAGGUCGACACGGCCACCAUAUUCGACCUCGCACUGGUGUGAUUACUUUCCAUCCUUUGAUUUGUUCCUUGACAUUCUCUAGAUCUAUCUUUUUACUAUCCCCCAUUGAUGGAAUCAAGAUUGUUUUUGUUUAGUGUGGCUUGUUACUUGUGUCUGAUUGAGAUUUGCAUAGAUUGGAAUAUGUCCUCGUACCUUCAUCAAGGUAGAUUUGACUCGAUUGUAUUAGGUUAGGUUACACAAUGGAUUAGGUUUAGGUCACAAAGAGUUGUUAUUGGCGAUGUAGAAAGCGGCCGACCAUACAUACUAACCCUAAUAGCUAGGUUCGGGCAUUAUCUCGGGAGCUAUAUUAGUUUACAGUUCCAUGUUCAUCUGGUCUAAUAUGCUUCACUAUAUAUGAAUAACCUAGAAACAUUUUAAAUUAUUAGAUUCACUAUCAUUUUGUUUGUAAAUUACAUAUACGGGAUGAUGAUUGAGUGGUUUCUCUUUCAAUAACUUGCGGAAACAUCAGACCACACAGAGCAAUAUAUGGUCUGUUGUUUCUAUAUUUGUCACUGUUGUUUCUAGAUUUGAACCAUGCAUGAAUGUCCAUAUCUAGUGUGAAAUUAUGAUCUUGUAUGCUAGACUUUAGUAGAUCUGCUCUGAAUUUGUUUAGUUAUGUUGGUUUAUCAUAGAUAGGGUGGCAUGUCGCAUGUGUCAUCCUUAGUUAUAAUACAUAAAUCCAAUAUCAUACAUUACUACUUUGAUAUUUGUAAUUAUGCAUUGUAGAUCACACACUUCUUUCUAAUUUUGCUAUCUAUAUCUUUAUUAUCUUAUAGGUUUCACUACUGGUCCAUAUGUCAACAAUGAAUGCCUUUUUCUUCUAUCUAGCAUCGAGUUACUAUUUAUUUUGCUGUAUACAUAGUGAUAGCUAAAUCACAUGAUCAUGCUAAUGUUUCUAACUUUGUAUCAAAUAUUUAUGAUCUCAACUAAUCUUUUAGAUACCACUAUUGAUCCAUGUCAUCUACGAAUGCCUUCUUCUAUCUAGUAUUGGUUGAGUAUUAAUUGUGGUUCUAUUAACAUUACAUCCUUGUAGCUAGAUCACGAGAUGAUACAUUGUGCCUGUCCAUGUUAGAAGUGAUGAUGCUUUCCAUCGUUUGAAGGGAAACCACACAUGACUUCCCAUGGCCACUAUAAAAUCUUGAUCUAGUUUGCAAGAGUUUAGCACUAUUUACUUUUAGUUUCUUUUCUUAUAGUUAUCUUAUUUUAUCAUAGAUAAGAUUUGUAUCUCACAUGUGGCAUCUUCACUUGCAAUACAUAUUCCAGUUUCAUAUAUUACUGACCCCUAAACACAUGUUUUGUGUUGUGGUUUGAUUUUACUAUGAUAGAUAACUAUGUUUCUAACUUUAUUGUUAUCGCUGCCUUUAUCAUCUGAGCAAAUCUUUUAAAUGCCACUAUAUUGAUCCAUAUUGGCUAUGAAUGUGUUCAUCUGUGUAUCAUUGCUUGAUUGAUGAUUGUGGUGUACUAGCCAUACAUGUUGAUAUCCAAAUUAUUGGAUGAUGAAUGCAAUUGCCAAUGCAUUUUGAGAAGUGGUGCUUGUCAUCUGAACCCAUGUAGCUUAUGCACUUACAAAAUUAUCAUUUAUCAUGUAGGAAUGUAUGUAGCUGUGUCUGAUCUCACUCUAUUUUGUGACAGUUAUGUUAACUUUUCUUGACUAUCGAUCCAUUUAUGUUAACCCAUGUUAUGGUCUUUGAAUGAAUAUCUUUUGAUUAUUGCACACCUUGUUUUGUGUUUUAGUUUGUCGCAAAAACCUCUAUGUAGGUGGUAUAUGUAAUUAUCCAUGUUUUUGUAAACCAAUGCUUCGCUCUGACGCACCAUUAUUCCUUUUGCUCUUUUGCCCCCUCUCAGGCUGCGAACCACCUCAACAUCAGGGGGCUCCUAGACUUGACUUGCCAGACCGUCGCCGACAUGAUCACGGGAAAGACGCCAGAGGAGAUCCGCAAGAUCUUCAACAUCAAUGAGAAAUUAAGACCCGAGGAGGAGGAGAAGAUCCGCAGGGAAAACCAGUGGGCCUUUGAGUAGAGGAACAUCUAGGCCGCACUGAAGUAAUGAACACUUAGUAUUACCCAUGUCUACAUUUCAGUGUGCUUGUUUAUGUCAUAAUGGUUGUAAUGAACCAAGAGUCUAUAAGGUGGUGUUGGUGAACUUAUUCAGUGGUUAUGUUUGCAAAAACAAUAUGGUGGUCAUUAAUUAUCAUUUGUCAAAUGAAUCGUUAUUGUCAAGUUGAUGUUUUGCUUGCUUAUCAUUAUUUUUUCACUGAUUUCCACCAUGUGAUUUGGGCUUCUUCGUUGGUUAUUCAUGUGUGUUUUGUUCAUCGAUCAAGAUGCAUGGAUGCUCUUGUUACUUAAGACACGGUCCUUGUUCUUCCCCUUUCUCUUUACAAUCCUAAUAAAAUAAAAAUAAAAGUUGUUGCUUAAAUUAUUUGAGGGAUCAAACUAAUUUCAGAAGACCUGAAAUUUUUAUGGUAACCACUUAUGACCAUGGCAAGGCCACACUAAAACAUAUAGGGUUUUAGGAUUAUAUUUACAAUUUUUUACAAAAAAUCCAUUUAAAUGAAUAAACGAGUGAUGUUAUUCUCUACUGACUGCAGAACCACGCCGCACCAGAAUCAGUUAACCCUCGUACACCUCUCCGUCUGUGACUCCACUGCCGUGUCUUCCCAUCACCGGCUCGUUGCCGUCCUGGGCCUCGCCGUCGUCCAUCGCCUUGGUGCGCUCGGCACGGCGUGGUCAACAAACGAGAUUCAUCGGAAGAGGAUUAUACAUGGAGAGGCUGACAGUGGGGACGCACCAGGUCCAUGGAUGCACACUGCAACCGCCUCCUUCUUACGCGAAAAUAAAAAUUAUUCCUCCCCAUGAAAGCUGGGAGCCACCACGUAUAUCUUCGCAAGGAAGGAAGUGCCUCCUUAUGCCUGCUCCUGACAGCUGGGACCCACCAACAACAUCUUUGCUCCCAAGGAAGUGACUCCUUAUUAUGGGCAAAAACCUCUGACCACUGGGACGCACAGGCUAUAUAUUCCACCUCCUUGCCCCCCGACAGCUGGAACCCACCUGGUCGAAGCAUACGUAGCAUUGUCUGUGUACAUAUCGGUCGAUCGGUCUGUUUGCCACGAUGAACCAUGUCCGAGUAAGGAGCGGUAGCAGUUGAGGCAGUCCAGUCAAAACUGCGUACACAUACGUACAGCCAGAUGCCGAAAAAUACAUCCACGUACAUACAUACGGGUGGGGUCUCGAACACGUACUCGCGCAUACGCACGGCGAGGGCUCGUGUACAUGGAGAGUGAAAGGAUCGAUAUGGUUGACUAGAGGGGGGGGGUGAAUAGGCAACUAACAAUUUUUAAGCUUUUCUUUAACAAAUUAAACCUUGCGACAAAAUAGGUUGUCUAGAUAUGCAACUAAGUGGACAACCUAUAUGAUGCAAAGACAACUAGCACACAAGCAAGCAAUAGAUACAAUACAAGUAAGCUUGCAAAAGUAAAGGCACGAAAUAACCAAGAGUGGAGCCGGUGGAGACGAGGAUGUGUUACCGAAGUUCCUUCCUUUUAAGGGGAAGUACAUCUCUGUUAGAGCGGUGUGGAGGCACAAUGCUCCCCAAGAAGCCACUAGGGCCACCGUAAUCUCCUCACGCCCUCACACAAUGCGAGAUGCCGUGAUUCCACUAUUGGUGCCCUUGAAGGCGGCGACCGAACCUUUACAAACAAGGUUGACGCAAUCUCCACAACACUUGGAGGCUCCCAACAACACCACGAAGCUUCACCACAAUGGAGUAUGGCUUCGAGGUGACCUCAACCAUCUAGGGUGCUCAAACACCCAAGAGUAACAAGAUCCGCUAGGGAUUAGUGGGGGGAAUCGAGUAUCUCUUGGUGGAAGUGUAGAUCGGGGCCUUGUCACCCAAUCCCGAGCAAAUCAACAAGUUUGAUUGGCUAGGGAGAGAGAUCGGCCAAAAAUGGAGCUUGGAGCAACAAUGGAGUUUAGGGUUAGAAGAGGUGAGUCUUCUUGGAGAAGAAGACCCCCUUUUAUAGUGGGGGACAAUUCCAACCGUUGCCCACCACUCAGCCCGCGGCCCACGGAACUACCGCUCCACAGGCGCGGUACUACCGCACUGGCGUGCGGUACUACCGCGGUGGACCGCGGUACUACCGCGAGCACGGCAGAGACCUGACCAGGCAAAAAGGAGCACCGACAGGGCGCGGUAGAUCCGUAGGAGCGGUACUACCGCGGCCCCAUGCGGUACUUCCGCAAGGCAGACACGGGCCAGGCCUGGUAGGCACAGAUGUAAAAAAUUACAUCCGUGACUACCUCCGCUAAGAAAAAUGUCGUGCAAAAAUCCAACACGAAAUUACCGCGAUCGAGGGUGCGGUACUACCGUGAAGGGUGCGGAUGUAAAAAAUUACAUCCGCCCCUACCUCCGCUCCUGCUCCGGAACCUGGCCUGGUGCCACGGUACUACUGCGCCACAGCACGGUACUACCGCGGGGAGCGCGGAUGUAAAAAAUUACAUCCGUGUCUACCACCGCUUGAGAGCGGUGCCAGACCAGAGCUCGCGGUACUACCGCUCGGAAGAGCGGUACUACCGUGGGAUCCUACGGUACUACCGUGCCGGAGCCCGGUACUACCGCUUGCUCCUGCGGUAGUACCGCUCACAAGAGCAGUACUACCGCUAGCCUGAGAAGAGCAAGACUGAGGCCUUCAUUUCGCAGAGACACGAUGAGCCGGAGGAACACUCCGAGGAGCUCGAGGAAAGGCGGUGCAAAAGGGAAUGUGUACGUGAGAUUCCACCCAAUCCUUUACAAAGCGGACCCCCUCUUAAUAGUACGGCUUUCCUAUGACUCAACUCCACUGAACCAAACUGUAGAGAAAGGCCGUCUUCUAUAAUCUCCGAGGGGCAUCAAAUCGUCUUGUGUUUAGUCGUGAUAUAUCUGAAAAGCUCAAUACACACGAUUAGUCCGCAAAGGCAUUGUCAUCAAUCACCAAAACUACAUAGGGACAAGAAUGCACUUACAAUCUCCCCCUUUUUGGUGGAUUGAUGACAAUACGGGAUUUGCACAAAUGAAAUGAAUAUAGCAUAGGCAAACCCCACAACUUCUAAAAUAUAGAUGAGCUCCCCCUAGAUUCGUGCUAGAGAGUAAAGUGCUUUGGACUGCACGGAACGAAUACUAGGAGCACCACUCCCCCUAUAUUUUAGAAACAAAGCAUAUCUUGCAAUAGUAAGGCUGACACUAGACAUGAUAUGAGCAUAACAUGAAUAGCAUGAUAAGCACAAGCUCAAUAAGGAGAUAACGAGAGAGUGCAUAUGUCUUACACCAUAUGAUAGACUUAGUCUCACGAGCACAACCAAACCAAAGCAAGCAGGUUCAACAACGGAAAGCAAAGCAAAUGACGAAACACACGACACACACACAAAUCCUACACUCUCUCCCCCUUUGGCAUCGAGACACCAAAAAGGCAGAGAGGUCACCUACAACGCAGGUGGUAGCUCAGGCGGAAAACGACUCAUCUCGCCAGACUCCGCAGCAGGAACAUACUCCUCCUCUGAAUCGCUCCAAUGGAAGCUCUGCUUCGCCAUCCAGGCAGUCUCUGGGGUGAUGUGCUUCUCAGAGCCGCUUGCCACGUCCUCCCCGCAAGCCCUCAAGAUCCUGAUGUCGCGACGGCGACUCUCCUUCUGAGCAACAUGGGCCUUGUACUGCCCCUGAACCUGCAAGAAGAACAACCUCUUCAUCUUGUCCUUCAGCUUCUUUGCCCAAGAAGGCUCAGCAGAGGGAGGCGUGAACGCAGAACGAUCCUCAGCAGCGUCUUCCUCCUUAAUCUCCUCCUCAUCAACAACCAUCUUGGCAGCCUCUGCAGCAGUGGUGGUAUUAGCCCAUUGGGGCUUGAUGCGAAGCUUGAUGGGCUCAUGCCGAAUCUAGCCUGGUGCUUCAAACUCCUCAUUGGGGAGGAGCUUCUCCCACGUCUUGGAGAUCAGGUAAAACAGAUAAGGCCCAUAGAUGGGGACCUUAUGGUUGAACACGGCGAACUGAAGCUCACACCACAUGAUAUGUGAGACAUCAAGUGGCUGAGUCUGAGCCUGACGGGCCUCCUCACAAAGAAGCAUCAUGUCAAUGAGAUAAGCAUGCACCUGUCCCAUGUCACCAAUGCGCGGGAAGAGCGUGUUCCGGAAGAGCCUAUGCAUGAUGUCAAGGAAGGGGUUGAGCACCCAUGCCUUCUUCUUGUUAGGAAGCGUCUUCUCAACAAGGUAUGUCAUGAGCUUGUUCUUGUUGGCAGAGUCAGCAUUGGCAUGAGGGCGAACUCCAACUGGCGUGUUGAGUCCUUCAUCGGGAACAAGGAGCAACUCCAUGAACUCCUUCUAGGUAGCAGACAACUGUCGACCAUUGGUCAUCCAAGUCAUGGUCCUCUCUUCAUUGACGUCGAAGUGGACCGAAGCAAAGAACUGUGCAACGAUCUUUGGAUCAAAGUCCUUGUGGAAGGUGAGAAUGUGUUCAAUGCCGAACUACUCCACAAGAUCCAAGGCCUCUCCAAAGUACCCACGGUGCUUCUCCUGCCUCAUGUGAGUCAUGUGAAUCUAGUGAACUUCAACAUUGUGAUUCUGCUUGGCCUUGAUCACAUCCAUAUAGAUCAGAUUCUGCUGCUUGUUCCAGAAGAGUUCAUUGCCCCGCGUGCUAGACUGGGGAGACACAUAAGGAUUGAUCUUUCUUCGAAUGACAAAUUCUGCCUGGGGCAUCUCAUCCAUGCCCAUGACGGGCUCCUUCCGUUUCCUGGCGGUAUGCUUGGUCCUGCGUUGGGGAGCAGCAGAGGACCCCUCUGGAACAUCAUCUGGGUUGCGCAGACGCUUGGACCCUGUGUCACGGCUGGGAUUCGAGCGGCGAGGAAAACCGGAGCCACCACCUAGACAUAAAGACACAAAGACACACACGGGAACAAAAUGAAUCAAAAACAAACGAAAGAAAACACAAACACAUGCGACUUGGACAAAAGACAAAACGGCACAGGAUGAUCUACGGUAGUACCGGGCGGGGUUCCGGAUGUAAAAAAUUACAUCCGCGCCAACCGCGGAAGUACCGUGCCGCGGAAGCACGGUAGUACUGUGCGUGGGGCGGAAGUAAUUUUUUACUUCCGGACGCCCAGCGGUAGUACCGCACCAAGGUGCGGAAGUACCGCGGAGUAUCAGAUCUAGAAGAGGCUGCGGUAGUACCGCUCCAGGAGGAGCGGUAGUACCGCACGAAAGGAAAAACUGCCAUUAAGGACGCGGAUCUGGAUCUAGAACCUCCGCACGACAACUUCGGUACUACCUUUGAUCAAACGGAACUAUUUUGACUAUCCAAAGAGCAUGCAACUACUCUACCACACUACAACGAAUCCCACUUGCACAGAUUUAGCCAAAAAUCUCAAGAACACCACAUGCAUCUCCCCAAAACCUAGAAACACAAGGAAGGACAAAAACGAGAGGUAUUUGGGGAAAAACCUGGGUCCAUGGCAAGAGGGCGAGGUGGGGAGCGAUCCCACCGGUCGGAAUCCGAGGAGAGCUGCCGGAGAAGGAGAUCCGGCGAAGGCCUCCGGUGCCGUUCUUGGUCAGGAGAGAGAGAGACGGGGUGGGGAAAAGAGAUGAAUGGGUAUGGGGGAGUUAGAACUCCCCCUGUCCUGCUCUUAACCCCCACCUGCUCGCGUGGGCGUGGAAGUACCUCGGGUCAUCACGGUAGUACCGCCCGGGCGGAAGUACCACAUGCUGGGCGGUAGUACCGCUUGUUCAGCGGCAGUAAAAAAUUUCUGCGGCGGAAGUAGCGGUAGUACCGUGCCCUUGGAGGGCCACGCACUUGGAGAGACCCACCAACUCCUGCGGUAGUACCGUGGCACACCACAGUAGUACCGUAAACCAAGAAAGAGCUAGGACGCAAGAGAGAAGAAGGAGGAAAAAGCAAAACACCCACCGGGGAAACACCAACCAACACGAGAGAGAAAACAACUUCUCCAAGGAAGGGCGGUGGCCGGAGCCACCUAUAUUUGAGUCAAUUGGUAUGGCACCGCAAAGAAUUAUCCUUGGGUCCAUGACCAAAACUCGUCUUUGAAGCACAAGUACCAUAAAAAAUGGCUAAUGUGAAAGAGUUGAUUAGUAUAUGCAUAAUGGGGGAGGAAGAGUUCAUUGAUAGAACAACAGUCCCCCUAUGUCCAUGCCUACAUCUAGACUAGACAACAAGUAGAGUGAGGAGGGGUGUGCACGGGCUCAAGUCACAUUGCUCGAAUCAAUGAUAUUUAGCUCAUGCCUUAACUCGGAAAAUCUUGCUUCAUCCAAGGGCUUCGUGAAAAUAUCUGCAAGGUUAUCAUGAGUGUUGACAUACUUGAGCUCGAUCUCCCCUCGCCUAAUGUGAUCCCGGAUGAAGUGAUACCGAAUCUCAAUAUGCUUCGUCUUGAAAUGUUGCACCGGGUUGAGAGAAAUCUUGAUGGCACUUUCAUUGUCACACCAAAGAGGCACUUUGUCACAAAUGACACAGUAUUCCUUUAAAGUUUGCCUCAUCCAUAAGAGUUGUGCACAACAACUACCAGCCGCCACAUAUUCUGCUUCGGUGGACGAGAGAGACACACAACUUUGCUUCUUGGAAGACCAACUCACCAAAGAGCAACCAAGAAAUUGGCACCCUCCGAAAGUGGACUUCCUAUCCACUUUGUCUCCCGCCCAAUCGGAAUCCGUAAAUCCUUCAAGCUUGAAGUUUUCUCCUCUUGGGUACCAUAGGCCAAAGUUUGGGGUAUGAGCCAAAUAUCGAAAGAUUCGCUUGACUGCCACAAAAUGGCUUUCCUUCGGUGCGGCUUGAAACCGUGCACACAUACCCACACUCAACAUGAUAUCCGGUCUAGACGCACAAAGGUAAAGCAAGGAUCCAAUCAUAGAGGGAUAUACCUUUUGGUCCACCGCUUUACCAUUGGGAUCAAUGUCAAGUUGGCACUUGGUAGGCAUUAGAGUGGAAGCCGGCUUGACAUCACUUAGCUUGAAUCUCUUAAGCAUGUCUUGAGUGUAUUUGGCUUGGUUGAUGAAGGUACCUUCUCUUCUUUGUUUGAUAUCAAAACCGAGGAAGAACUUCAACUCUCCCAUUGAAGACAUCUUGAACUUAGAGGUCAUGAGAGCGGCAAAUUCUUCAUUGAAAGCUUUGUUAGGGGAACCAAAGAUAAUGUCAUCAACAUAUAGUUGGCACACAAACAACUCCCCUUUGACCUUCUUAGUAAAAAGAGUGGGAUCGAUUUGCCCAACUUCAAAUCCACGAUCUUGUAACAACUCGGUAAGGUGGUCAUACCACGCACGUGGGGCUUGUUUAAGGCCAUAGAGUGCCUUAUCAAGUUGAUACACAUGAUCCGGGAAGUAAGGAUCCUCAAACUCGGGGGGUUGCUUCACAUACACCAACUCAUUAAUAGGACCAUUAAGAAAAGCACUUUUCACAUCCAUUUGUUGUAACUUAAAGUUAUGAUGGGACGCAUAAGCAAUCAACAAACGGAUGGAUUCAAGGCGAGCAACGGGAGCAAAGGUUUCACCGUAGUCGAUACCCUCGACUUGGGAGUAGCCUUGUGCUACCAAUCUUGCCUUGUUGCGAAUGAUGUUCCCAUGAGCAUCUUGCUUGUUCUUGAAAAUCCACUUGGUUCCAAUGACGUUGUGGUUCCCCGAUGGCCUUGGCACCAAUCUCCAAACCUUGUUGUACUCGAAGUUGUUGAGUUCUUCAUGCAUGGCAUUGAGCCAAUCCGAGUCUUCGAGCGCCUCAUAGACCUUUUGGGGUUCAACACAAGAGACAAACGCGUGAUGUUCACAAUAGUUUGCUAAUUGUCUACGAGUGCUUACCCCCUUUCUUAGGCUUCCAACCACAUUUUCCAUGAGGUGGCCUUUGGUGGUGAGUUUGGAAGCAAUCUUCACGGCACGACGCUCUAAUUCUUCCUCGGAUGUGGAAGGAGGAGGGUUAACUUGAUUAUCUUGAGCGACGUCUUGAGCUUGUUCUUGAUCUUGAGUUUGCUCAUGAUCUUGAAUCUGCUUGAGGGGGAGAACUUGACCUUGGGCAUCAUUUGGAGGUUCACAACUAUCUUGAGAUUGAUCUUGCCCUUGGUCUUGUUCACGAGGUUGAGGGCCUUCAGUUUGUUCUUCGGAAGAGUGUGAGUCUUGAGUAGGUGAAGGCUCCACUUGAGUGGAGCAUUGUCCUUCUCCUUCGGCCACAAGGGGUUCCUCAAUGGGUAGAAUAUGACCAAUACCCAUUCUUCUUAUGGCUUGGGGAGGAAUUUCAUCACCUACAUCACAAGUACCACUUUGCUCCACUUGGGAGCCAUUAUUUUCGUCAAACUCCACGUUACACAUCUCCUCAAUGAGUCUGGUGGACUUGUUGAGAACACGGUAAGCACGAGAGUUUGUAGGAUAACCAACAAAUAUGCCCUCAUAAGCUCUAGCCUCAAAUUUAGACAAACGAACACCUUUCUUGAGAAUGAAACACUUACACCCGAAUACUCGGAAGUACUUGAUAUUGGGCUUGUUUACGGUGAGUAUCUCAAAAGGAGUCUUGUUCAAGCCUUUGCGGAGAUAGAGCCGAUUGGAUGCAUGACAAGCGGUGUUGAUGGCUUCGGCCAAAAGUUGUAUGGAGACUUGAACUCCGCCAUCAUGGUCCUUGCCGCAUCCAUCAACGUCCGGUUCUUCCUCUCCACAACACCAUUUUGUUGAGGGGUAUAUGGUGCAGAAUGUUGAUGCUUGAUCCCCUCAUCACUAAGAAACUCAUCCAAGGUGUAGUUCUUGAACUCGGUGCCGUUGUCACUUCUUAUUGUCAAGAUCUUUGCAUUAUGUUGACGUUGAGCUUCAUUUGCAAAGUUGAUGACGGUUUGUUGAGUCUCACUCUUCCUCUUGAAGAAGUAUACCCAAGUGUAUCUUGAAUAAUCAUCCACAAUCACCAAGCAAUACUUUCUACCCCCAAGACUAUCAAAGGAUGGAGGCCCAAAGAGGUCCAUGUGAAGGAGCUCCAAGGGUCUCUUCGAGUAGAUGAUAGUCGUGGGAGGGUGAGCUGUCUCAUGAAGCUUUCCUUCAAUACAAGCACUGCAAGCACGAUCUUUGGGAAAACUAACAUUUGUUAGUCCACGGACAUGGUCCCCCUUAAGAAGACUUUGCAAAGAUCUCAUAUUGGCGUGGGCUAAACGGCGAUGCCAAAGCCAUCCCACAUCAACUUUAGCCAUUAGGCAUGUCGCGGUCUUAGUGGGUUGCUCCGAAAAGUUAAUCACAUAGAGACCAUUCUCGACAUGCCCAACAAAGGCUACUUUAAGAGUCUUGCUCCACAAGAGGGCCAUGGUAUCAAUAUCAAAGAAGGUGGCAAAGCCCAUGAGUGCAAGUUGAUGAACGGAAAGUAAAUUGAACGCAAGGGACUCAACAAGCAUGACUUUCUCGAUCGUUAGAUCAUGAGAAAUGGCAACCUUGCCAAGACCCAAUACCUUAGAAUGUGAGGCAUCACCCCACUCGACAUAGGUGGGCAUAGAUGGGAUCUUUUGCACGUCCACCACCAAGUCCUUGCUCCCGGUCAUAUGAUUUGUUGCUCCACUAUCGAGCAACCAUGAUCCCCCACCGGAAGCAAACACCUAUAAGAGAUCAAUUCUUGGUUUUAGGUACCCAUUUAGUAAUGGGUCCUUUGAUGUUAGUAACAAGGGUCUUAGUCACCCAAAUAGACCAUUCAAUGUACUCAUAAGAAGAACCAACAAAUUUAGCAUAAACAUGCCCAUCACUAGCACGGCACAACACAUAAGAGGGGUUAAAGUCGCCGGCUUUGUUGGGAGAGAUGGCUUUGCCCUUUUUGGCAUCACCACUCUUCGCAUUGUUCUUCUUCUCCUUAGGAUCACCCUCUCCCUCCUUCACAAAAGUUUGCUUAAGCGGGGGAGGUUGUUUGGUCUUGUUAUUCUUCUUCUCGUUCUUCUUCUUGUUCUUGGACUUGGGUGAGAACCCAACUCCCUCCUUGCCCACAACUUCCUUUUGAUUGCUCAAAAGGUCAUUUAGGUUCUUCUCACCUUGUAUGCAUGACACAAGACCUUUCUCGAGUUGUUCCUUCAACUUGGCAUUCUCCUCCACAAGAUGCACAUGCUCACAACACGGGUUAGUAGCAUUUGCAUUAUCAAUUAAGACCAUGUGAGGAAAUGUGGCCUUUUCCUUGGUUAGCUUAACUUGGAGUUGAGCAUGAGACUCCUUGAGGUUUGCAUGAGCACCUUUCAAGACCUUAUGGGCCUUGUCAAGUACAUCAAACUCCUCCUUGAGUCUAGCAUGAUCAACCCCAAGUUUAGCCUUCUCGGAAGUUAGCACACAAGACACAACAAGAGCAUGAUCAAGAUCUUUCUUUAAUUUGGCAUGGCCAUCGUUGUGUGACUCCUCAAGAGCCAAACGAUGCCCAUGCUCUUCCUCAAGAGCAUUAGAGAGAUCCGAUAUCUCAUCGGCAUAGUCACGACUAUGACCUUCCAUCUUAGAGAUGCUCAUUGUCGGCGGUCUUGUCCAAGAUGCUCAUUGCAAUGAACUCAUCCAACACUUCGCUUGAGGUCAUGGAGUGGAAGUCCGGUCUUUGACGAAUGACGGAGGACAUGGCCUUGUUGUAGGGCAUCAUGGCCUUGAGGAACUUGCGCUUGAUCCAAUUGUCAUCCAUGUCCUUGCUCCCAUGAUCUCGGAGUGAGACCGCGAGUUUGGUCACUCUUCGGAAGAGCUCACGAGGUUCUUCAUCUUCUUUCAUUGCAAACUCAUCGGCUUCAUCUUGCACCACUUCAUAGUUGGAGCAUUGAAUGCUAGCACUUCCUCGAUAAAGAGACACAACACAUUGCCAUGCGUCUUUAGCCACGGCAUGAGGUCGAAGAUGAGGGAGAUCUUCGGGAAGGAUUGCAUCUUGGAUGAUGAAGAGAGCACUCUCAUUGAAUUGAUUAUCCACGGCUUCUCGAGGGGUGAAGUUGCUUGGGUCAUGUGGAUAGAAACCUUCUUCUAUGAUUCUCCAAAGAUUAGUAUUCACAUGUUUUAAAUGACGCUUGAAACGAUAAACCCAAGAAUCAAAAUCCUCAUUUUUCACAAUCUUAGGAGGAGGACCGGCAUGAUUUAAAUGAGUAGAGGGAAUCGGUCCACCAUAAGUAGGAGGUUCCACAUGGGCAUAGAUGCCGGUGCCAUUUCUACCACUAGUAGAAGGACCCUUUUCACUAUUAGCUUCCCCCUUGUCGGAGUUAGCAUCCGUCACCUUGUUAGUGGGAUCACCCACUUUCAUCGGCGAGGUGGAUAGUUUAAGUCCUUCUAGGAAUUUAGUAAACAUGCUUUCAAUCUCGGUCGUCAUGGAGGUUUUCAAUGUGUCUAAAGCCACAUUGAAUUCCUCAUGGGAGACCGAGGUUCCCCCAUCGGCCGUAGACGAGAUAGGAUUCACACCGGAGUGCUCCUCCGCACCGUCGUUGGUGUCAACCAUACUCUUCGGACGUCAAAGUCCUUAAUAAAGAGACGAGGCUCUGAUACCAAUUGAAAGGAUCGAUAUGGUUGACUAGAGGGGGGGGGGUGAAUAGGCAACUAACAAUUUUUAAGCUUUUCUUUAACAAAUUAAACCUUGCGACAAAACAGGUUGUCUAGAUAUGCAACUAAGUGGACAACCUAUAUGAUGCAAAGACAACUAGCACACAAGCAAGCAAUAGAUACAACACAAGUAAGCUUGCAAAAGUAAAGGCACGAAAUAACCAAGAGUGGAGCCGGUGGAGACGAGGAUGUGUUACCGAAGUUCCUUCCUUUUAAGGGGAAGUACGUCUCCGUUAGAGCGGUGUGGAGGCACAAUGCUCCCAAGAAGCCACUAGGGCCACCGUAAUCUCCUCACGCCCUCACACAAUGCGAGAUGCCGUGAUUCCACUAUUGGUGCCCUUGAAGGCGGCGACCGAACCUUUACAAACAAGGUUGACGCAAUCUCCACAACACUUGGAGGCUCCCAACAACACCACGAAGCUUCACCACAAUGGAGUAUGGCUUCGAGGUGACCUCAACCAUCUAGGGUGCUCAAACACCCAAGAGUAACAAGAUCCGCUAGGGAUUAGUGGGGGGAAUCGAGUAUCUCUUGGUGGAAGUGUAGAUCGGGGCCUUGUCACCCAAUCCCGAGCAAAUCAACAAGUUUGAUUGGCUAGGGAGAGAGAUCGGCCAAAAAUGGAGCUUGGAGCAACAAUGGAGUUUAGGGUUAGAAGAGGUGAGUCUUCUUGGAGAAGAAGACCCCCUUUUAUAGUGGGGGACAAUUCCAACCGUUGCCCACCACUCAGCCCGCGGCCCACGGAACUACCGCUCCACAGGCGCGGUACUACCGCACUGGCGUGCGGUACUACCGCGGUGGACCGCGGUACUACCGCGAGCACGGCAGAGACCUGACCAGGCAAAAAGGAGCACCGACAGGGCGCGGUAGAUCCGUAGGAGCGGUACUACCGCGGCCCCAUGCGGUACUUCCGCAAGGCAGACACGGGCCAGGCCUGGUAGGCACAGAUGUAAAAAAUUACAUCCGUGACUACCUCCGCUAAGAAAAAUGUCGUGCAAAAAUCCAACACGAAAUUACCGCGAUCGAGGGUGCGGUACUACCGUGAAGGAUGCGGAUGUAAAAAAUUACAUCCGCCCCUACCUCUGCUCCUGCUCCGGAACCUGGCCUGGUGCCACGGUACUACCGCGCCACAGCACGAUACUACCGCGGGGAGCGCGGAUGUAAAAAAUUACAUCCGCGUCUACCACCACUUGAGAGCGGUGCUAGACCAGAGCUGGCGGUACUACCGCUCGGAACAGCGGUACUACCAUGGGAGCCUACGGUACUACCGUGCCGGAGCCCGGUACUACUGCUUGCUCCUGCUGUAGUACCGCUCACAAGAGCAGUACUACCGCUAGCCUGAGAAGAGCAAGACUGAGGCCUUCAUUUCGCAGAGACACGAUGAGACGGAGGAACACUCCGAGGAGCUCAAGGAAAGGCCGUGCAAAAGGGAAUGUGUACGUGAGAUUCCACCCAAACCUUUCCAAAGCGGACCCCCUCUUAAUAGUACGGCUUUCCUACGACUCAACUCUUCCGAACCAAACCGUAGAGAAAGGCCGUCUUCUAUAAUCUCCGAGGGGCAUCAAAUCGUCUUGUGUUUAGUCGUGAUAUAUCUGAAAAGCUCAAUACACACGAUUAGUCCGCAAAGGCAUUGUCAUCAAUCACCAAAACUACAUAGGGACAAGAAUGCCCUUACAGAGAGGCAAUGGAUGGCAGCAACGACGUCAUGUUCAUCAGAAGCCAACCGGCUGGGCCGAAAUGGAGAAACUGUGUCGUGUUCAUCGGGAGGCAACAUAAUGCGUCGUGUUUAUUGGGAGGCAAUGGAAUAUGUCGUGUUCAUUAGGAGCCAACCGGCUUAGAUGGAAUAGCCGAAACGAGGUCUGGCGUACCACAGAACGGAGGAAACGGGCCUUCUGUUCGACCACAUACGGUCGAAAUGGGUCCUGUUCAUCGGGAAGGGUCUAGCCUACCGCAAAACGGAGGAAACCGACUUGUAUUCGAGUGCCUACGGUCGAAACAGGGCCCUGUUGAUAGGGAGGGGUGUGGCGUACCGCAAAACGGAGGAAACGGAUUUGUGUUGGAGCGCUGACGGUCGAAACGAGGUCCUGUUCAUCCACCAUCUACUGCUGUGCCCCAGCCUCCACGAGCUACUGUUCAUCCACCAUCGACCUCCUCCAGCCUCCACCAGCUACUGUUCAUCCACCGGCUACUAUUUAUAGAGGCUCCAUAGGGUCCUGUUCAUCCACCCCAACCGGCUAGGGUGCGAUGGCCUCCUUGGGGUCCUGUUCAUCCCACGGCAACGGCCUACUACCACGGGGUCCUCUUCAUCAAACCCCCACCGGGAACCGUUCAUCCACAACCAACCAACCGGCCCUGGACGAAAAACCCAUUUUCAUGGACCUAUCAUCUCAUUUUCAUCCUGUGAAAUCUAUGAUCCUAUUCUCUAUAUAUGCAGCAUGGUCUAUUAUGUAGCAAUAGCACGGUCUAUUAUGCUCUGUUACCGGCAGUAAUGUCAGUUGUUCUCUAGUAUUUGUCAUUGUAGUGCUCUCCUUCCCGUUGUUCCAUAUUUUGCAGCUGCAUCUUUGAUGUGUAUAAGUUGUUGAUGUGUUGUCUUGGUAUAAGUAAACCUGACUACUUCUGUCCUUUGUCGUCAAAUGAAGUCAUGAUAUGUUGUUAGCAACCUAGGACAGGAGGUAUUUGUUCAAGUUUGCAGUUCCUAGAUCCAUUGCUGAUGAAUAUGGAGUCAUUAAUAUUUAUUCUAUUUUUCCAAGAAAUGCUUCACUUGUAAGUUAUAACACCAGUCAUGGACAACACACUUAACAAUUUUCGCUUGUCCCCUAUUACAUUUGACAGGGUCGAUUCGAAAUCCUGUGCCUCUCUGGAUCAUACCUGGUGAUAGAUGACGGCGUUUCACGCACACGGAAUGGAGGUCUAUGCAUAGAGCUGUGUGGCGCUGAUCACAGGGUGAUUGGAGGAAGCGUUGGUGGAGUCUUGACAGCAGCCGGGACAGUUCAGGAGAUCACUCGCUUCUUCUUUUUUUUCACUGAAACAUCAGCAUUUCAUUAAUUCAUCCUUGGUCUGUUGUGUUCCAGAAAUGAAUGAUGAGGUGAUUGUGCGUCAUGGUGCAGGUGAUUGUGGGGAGCUUCAUGUACGCGGGGUCGAAGAAGAGCACGAAGGGCAAGGCCGGGCAGGAGUCUGCUGUGGCAGAGGAAGAACAGACCGGCGAUGCCAACGGGGGCAGGGGCAGAGGUGGAGACGGAGUUGGAGUCAAGGCGGAGGAAGAGGGGCCUUCGCCGCUGAUGCCGAUGCCCCGCGGAGAGGAGGAGCUGCCGUCGGACGCGAUGAUGAGCGGGUGGACGGGUAUGAUGCGGUAGAUGGAGUCGCGGUCCUGCGGCGGCAUCGACAUCAACUCGAUCCGGGAGUGAAGGAUGUAGACUGUUUAAUUAGUUUGGUACGGCGGAAGUUGAGCCUAGGCUAGCUUAGCUAGUGGAUGAUGGAUGGAUGAUUCUAGGGUUUGGUUGGGCUGGUUGUGUUCCUCUCCUGCGUGGGUUUAAAAAGAAGUCUAGUUAGUAUAAUGAAUGUUGUCGUCGAGUAUGAUCAGUUUAACCGAUGAUGUUGGCGCCGGUCGGUCGGGCGAAUCUAUGAUGGAAAUAGUGGAUUCGGUUGUUGGUUGAUGGUGUGGUCUGGUAUGGUAUGGUAUGGUAUGAUGUAGUUAUAGGCAGCAGCAAUGAGCAACUUGUUUGUAGCUAGUCUCUUUCUUGGUUGCAGACAGACAGACAGACUUUGACAGUUUUAUUUUCCUUUCUCUUCUUGUGUUUGCAUCCCCUUUGCUUCUUUCUUUUCCUUCUUACUAGCAAAUAUGCUUGUGCGUUGCAAUGGGAAAACUAGCAAACAUGCUUGUGCGCAGGGGCCCUCCCCUGUGUGCGCCCGACCAUGGACAUAACCCCCCCUACUGCCGCGCCGUCGUUCUCCUGCUCUCAGUCCACCACGCAUCGCCCUGCCGCCGCAACCUCGCGCCGGCCUACGCCCGUCGCCGGCGCCCCCCCACACCGUUCGCCUGGGCCAGUGCCCAAUCUGGUUGGGGCUUCACCCGCAGCGCCCGAACCCACUUUGGCCAUGGGCCAAUGGCACAAGGGGCCCACGCCCCUGGAACAAUUUUAAAAAAAGAAGUUAAUAAAAUAAAUAAAUAAGUAAUUAUUAACUAAAUAAUUAGUUGAUUAAUUAAGUUAAUUAGUUCUGUUUAGCUAAGCUAAUUAAAAUUAGUUAACCUAAUCAAUGAAAUUAAGCUAAUUAACAUGUUUAAUCUAAGUCAAUGACAUAUGGGACCCACGCGUCAGCUUGACCCAGUCAGCACCUCUGUUGACUGGUGAUGUCAUGCUGACGUCAUGCUGAUGCAGUAAUACCAUUUUCGAAUUAAAUUAAUAAUAAUAAAUUAUAAAUUGAAUAAAGUCUCUGAAAAUUAAUAAUAAAUAAACCGUAGUUCGGAUGGAAAAACUUUGUACAUGAAAGUUGCUCAGAACGACGAGACGAACCCGGAAGCGCAGCCCAUUCGUCCACCACGCAUCCCCAACCUAUCGAACUCGCAACUUUCCUCCUCCGGCUCCUCUGCCCGAAAACACGAAACACCGGGGAUACUUUCGCGGAUGUUCCCCCCCCCCUUCACCGACAUCACCUCAUACUGCGUUAGGGCACGCCUAGCAUCACGCUUUUCUUUGUCAUGCAUCGUCAUGCAUAUGUUUGCAUUGUAUUCAUUGUUUCUUCCCCUUCUGCUUCCGCUAGACACCGAGACCGACGCUGCUGCUGCCCAGUUCGACUACGGAGUUGACGACCCCUCUCUCUUGGCAGAGCAACCAGGCAAGCCCCCCCUUUGAUCACCAGAUAUCGCCUAUUCUUCUCUAUACUGCUUGCAUUAGAGUAGUGUACCAUGUUACUGCUUUCCGUUAAUCCUAUUCUGCUGCAUAGCUUGUCCUUGCUACUACUGUUGUUACCUUUACCUGCAAUCCUACAUGCCUAGUAUAGGAUGCUAGUUUUCCAUUAGUGGCCCUACAUUCUUGUCCGUCUGCUGUGCUAUACUAUCGGGCCGUGAUCACUUGGGAGGUGAUCACGGGUAUAUACUAUAUACUUUAUACAUGAUACAUGUGGUGACUAAAGUCGGGUCGGCUUGUGGAGCACCCGCGAGUGAUUCACGGAUUGGGGGCUGAAAGGACCUUUGUCCCAACGGCCCUCUGUGUGGACCUUUGUGGCGGAGCGUCAGGGCAGGUUGAGACUACCUGGGUGAGAGGUGGGCCUGGCCCUGUUCGACGUUCACGGAUACUUAACACGCUUAACGAGAUCUUGGUAUUUGAUCUGAGUUGGGUCGUUGACCUUAUACGCACUAACCGCCACGUGGGACAAGUUAUGGGCAACCGACAUCGUGGUAUCAGCGAAGCAUUUCGUGACGUCAGCGACGGAGCGGCGCGCGCCGGAUUGGACUGGAACGCCUGCUAGUCUAGGUCUUCUUUCGGCUGCCCUCGCAACGUGCAGGUGUGCUAAGGGCGAUGGGCCCAGACCCCUGUGCGCUUAGGUUUAGACCGGCGUGCUGACCUCUCUCUUAUGCCUAGGUGGGGCUGCAACGUGUUGAUCUUCCGCGGCCGGGCAUGACCCAGGAAAGUGUGUCCGGCCAAAUGGGAUCGAGUGUGUCGGGUAAUGUGGUGCACCCCUGCUGGGAAGUUAAUCUAUUCGAAUAGCCGUGAUCUUCGGUAACAGGACGACUUGGAGUUGUACCUUGACCUUAUGACAACCAGAACCGGAUACUUAAUAAAACACACCCUUCCAAGUGCCAGAUACAACCCGGUGGUCGGUCUCUAAUAGGGCAUUGAGGAGGGGAUCGCCGGGUAGGAUUAUGCUAUGCGAUGCUACUUGGAGGACUUCAGUCUACUCUCUUCUACAUGUUGCAAGACGGAGGCUGCCAGAAGCGUAGUCUUCGACAGGAUUAGCUAUCCCCCUCUUAUUCUGGCAUUCUGCAGUUCAGUCCACUGAUAUGGCCCUUUACACAUAUAUCCAUGCAUAUGUAGUGUAGCUCCUUGCUUGCGAGUACUUUGGAUGAGUACUCACGGUUGCCUUGUUCCCCCUUUUCCCCCUAUCUCUAUCCGAUUGCUGCGACCAGACGAUGGAUCCCAGGAGCCAGACGCCACCUUCGACGACGACUCCUACUACGCUGGAGGUGCCUACUACUACGUGCAGCCCGCUGACGACGACCAGUAGUAGUUUAGGAGGAUCCGAGGUAGGAGGCCUGCGCCUCUUUCGAUCUGUAUCCCAGUUUGUGCUAGCCAUCUUAUGGCAACUUGUUUAACUUAUGUAUGUACUCAGAUAUUAUUUCUUCCGCUGACUUGUCUAUGAUCGAGCACUUGUAUUCGAGCCCUCGAGGCCCCUGGCUUGUAUUAUGAUGCUUGUAUGACUUAUUUAUGUUUUAGAGUUGUGUUGUGAUAUCUUCCCGUGAGUCCUUGAUCUUGAUCGUACACGUUUGCGUGCAUGAUUAGUAUACGAUUGAAUCGGGGGCGUCACACAAGGGUACCUGUCGAGAGCGGCGAGUUGUCGGGGGAGGUUUUUGGGUGCGGGCAGCGGCCUGGGCAAGCCCAACCGGCCGGAACUGGGCGACAACGGUGAAGGCAGGGUGCCCGGGUGUCUUAGUUUUGGACGGGAGAGGAGGGUAAUUGUCAAUGUGCCACCGAAUGACAGGCUAGGGGGAGGACAAGGACGGGCGUCGCGAGCGUCCACGUCAUGUCCGUGCUGAUGCAAACCCGACUCAAAUCUUGUCCUGAAAUGAGUCGCGAGCAGACAAAAAGCAGACACUCGCCCGUUUGCGUCGACACAUUGGGCCACAGUUUGUGUUCAUUUCGACCCAAACCGACGUGCACAGACAGAACGCGUCGGCGCAUUGGAGUUGGUGUUAGACACCACCCUCAUUGCAAGAAAUGUGCACACAGUGGCAAAGAAAAGGUGCUAGACCAGGGGCACCCCACGCUCAUAGGGGUGGGGAACGACCCAACAUGGUUGGACGGUGGAGUGGCAGGCAGAAGGGGGCGUCAAGAGUACUCCAGCAUCCUUUAUAAGAGUAAUUCGGUGAUGGUCGAUGUAUCAACAUGUAAUAUCCACAAAUUUCCAGCGGCUCGAAGCAGCCGCAAAAACAAUAUAUGUGUACAAAUUAAAUAUGUACCCCGUGAGCUAGCAGAAAGUACCCAACGAAUCUUGCAUCGUUCAUAGGGGUGAAGGUAUAUGCGUAUGUACUAUGUUCUGCUCGGUGACUCAUACGUCUCAAACUUACCUAUAAUUUUUGAUUGAUUCAUGCUAUUAUAAUACCAUCCAUAGCAAUUUAUAUAUUGUUUUUCUGAACUAAACUAUAAAUUCAAUGCCUAGAGCCAGUUACUGUUUUCUGCAUGUUUUUGAUUUCACAGAAAAUCAUUCGGCAUGCGUUAAGCCUGUCGAUUCACAAAACAAUAAAUAGAAGUUAAUCCUUCGCCAUGUGGGCCAACUUAUAAGGCGAGCCCACAUCCUGGGAAGGUGCUAAAGUUGUUCCAACCGAAGAUACCAAUGUUGUCCUCAUCAAAUUGGAAAAUAUGAAUUUUCUAGUUUGACCCAUUUGAACUCGUAAAAAAAUUGGUUAGAUUUCAUCUUGUUUUGUAUUGUUUGGCUUCGUUUCUUUCUGAGGCCCGUAAGCUACAUAUCUACCCAUCCAAACGUUGCUCAAUCGGCCCAAAAUAAAUUCCCCAAAAGCCCAAUCAACCCUUCAACAAAACACCCCACCUUUCCUCCUUUCUUCCGCCGCCGCUAGAGUUUCCUCUUCUAGUUAGGGUUUCCUCGAUCCCCAAUUUCCCCACCCCAACCCUAGCUCCGAUCCACCCGAUGGCGGCCGCAGAGGGCAAGAAGAACAUCAUCAAGCUCAAGAGUUCAGACGGUAAGGAGUUUGAGGUGGAGCAGGCGGUGGCCAUGGAGUCGCAAAUGAUCCGGCACAUGAUCGAGGACGACUAUACUGACAACGGCUUGUUGCUCCACAAUGUCAACUCAAAGAUCCUCUCCAAGGUCAUUGAGUACUACAACAAACACGUCCAAGCAAAGGGCCGCCGACACAUCUGAUUUUGGAGGAGGAGCUAGGCCGUUAGGUGCUACAUCGGCUGUGCCUGCGGCGCCCACAGAGGACCUCAAAAACUGGGACGCCAAUUUCGUCAAGGUCGACAUGGCCACCAUAUUCGACCUCGCACUAGUGUGAUUACUUUCCAUCCAUUGAUUUGUUCCUUGACAUUCUCUAGAUCUAUUUUUUUACUAUCCCCCAUUGAUGGAAUCAAGAUUGUUUUUGUUUAGUUUGGCUUGUUACUUGUGUGAGAUUGAGAUUUGGAUAGAUUGGAAUAUGUCCUCGUACCUUCAUCAAGGUAGAUUUGACUCGAUUGGAUUAGGUUAGGUUACACAAUGGAUUAGGUUUAGGUCACAAAGAGUUGUUAUUGGCGAUGUAGAAAGCAGCCGACCAUACAUACUAACCCUAAUAGCUAGGUUCGGGCAUUAUCUGGGGAGCUAUAUUAAUUUACAGUUCCAUGUUCAUCUGGUCUAAUAUGCUUCACUAUAUAUGAAUAACCUAGAAACAUUUUAAAUUAUUAGAUUCACUAUCAUUUUGUUUGUAAACUACAUAUAUGGGAUGAUGAUUGAGUGGUUUCUCUUUCAAUAACUUGCGGAAACAUCAGACCACACAGAGCAAUAUAUGGUCUGAUGUUUCUAUAUUUGUCACUGUUGUUUCUAGAUUUGAACCAUGCAUGAAUGUCCAUAUCUAGUGUGAAAUUAUGAUCUUGUAUGCUAGACUUUAGUAGAUCUGCUCUGAAUUUGUUUAGUUAUGUUAGUUUAUCAUAGAUAGGGUGGUAUGUCGCAUGUGUCAUCCUUAGUUAUAAUACAUAAAUCCAAUAUCAUACAUUACUACUUUGAUAUUUGUAAUUAUGCAUUGUAGAUCACACACUUCUUUCUAAUUUUGCUAUCUAUGUCUUUAUUAUCUUAUAGGUUUCACUACUGGUCCAUAUGUCAACAAUGAAUGCCUUUUUCUUCUAUCUAGCAUCGAGUUACUAUUUAUUUUGCUGUAUACAUAGUGAUAGCUAAAUCACAUGAUCAUGCUAAUGUUUCUAACUUUGUAUCAAAUAUUUAUGAUCUCAACUAAUCUUUUAGAUACCACUAUUGAUCCAUGUCAUCUACGAAUGCCUUCUUCUAUCUAGCAUUGGUUGAGUAUUGAUUGUGGUUCUAUUAACAUUACAUCCUUGUAGCUAGAUCACGAGAUGAUACAUUGUGCCUGUCCAUGUUAGAAGUGAUGAUGCUUUCCAUCGUUUGAAGUGAAACCACACAUGACUUCCCAUGGCCACUAUAAAAUCCUGAUCUUGUUUGCAAGAGUUUAGCACUAUUUACUUUUAGUUUCUUUUCUUAUAGUUAUCUUAUUUUAUCAUAGCUAGAUAAGAUUUGUAUCUCACAUGUGGCAUCUUCACUUGCAAUACAUAUUCCAGUUUCAUAUAUUACUGACCCCUAAACACAUGUUUUGUGUUGUGGUUUGAUUUUACUAUGAUAGAUAACUAUGUUUCUAACUUUAUUGUUAUCGCUGCCUUUAUCAUCUGAGCAAAUCUUGUAAAUGCCACUAUAUUGAUCCAUAUUGGCAAUGAAUGUGUUCAUCUGUGUAUCAUUGCUUGACUGAUGAUUGUGGUGUACUAGCCAUACAUGUUGAUAUCCAAAUUAUUGGAUGAUGAAUGCAAUUGCCAAUGCAUUUUGAGAAGUGGUGCUUGUCAUCUGAACCCAUGUAGCUUAUGCACUUACAAAAUUAUCAUUUAUCAUGAGGAAUGUAUGUAGCUGUGUCUGAUCUCACUCUAUUUUGUGAUAGUUAUGUUAACUUUUCUUGACUAUCGAUCCAUUUAUGUUAACCCAUGUUAUGGUCUUUGAAUGAAUAUCUUUUGAUUAUUGCACACCUUGUUUUGUGUUUUAGUUUGUCGCAAAAACCUCUAUGUAGGUGGUAUAUGUAAUUAUCCAUGUUUUUGUAAACCAAUGCUUCCCUCUGACACACCAUUAUUCCUUUUGCUCUUUUGCCCCCUCUCAGGCUGCGAACCACGUCAACAUCAGGGGGCUCCUAGACCUGACUUGCCAGACCGUCGCCGACAUGAUCACGGGAAAGACGCCAGAGGAGAUCCGCAAGAUCUUCAACAUCAAUGAGAAAUUAAGACCCGAGGAGGAGGAGAAGAUCCGCAGGGAAAACCACUAGGCCUUUGAGUAGAGGAACAUCUAGGCCGCGCUGAAGUAAUGAACACUUAGUAUUACCCAUGUCUACAUUUCAGUGUGCUUGUUUAUGUCAUAAUGGUUGUAAUGAACCAAGAGUCUAUAAGGUGGUGUUGGUGAACUUAUUCAGUGGUUAUGUUUGCAAAAAAAAUAUGGUGGUCAUUAAUUAUCAUUUGUCAAAUGAAUCGUUAUUGUCAAGUUGAUGUUUUGCUUGCUUAUCA